Long non-coding RNA from Eriocheir sinensis (Chinese mitten crab), 1356 nucleotides. RefSeq lists it as uncharacterized. The record is from RefSeq and is a predicted model, not a curated record. The transcript has 2 exons. NCBI's taxonomy places the organism in Eukaryota, Metazoa, Arthropoda, Malacostraca, Decapoda, Varunidae.
GGGCAGGUGAGGUUCGUUAGCCGUGGUAGGCAAUUCACCUAGGAGAACAAACUCCGAACAAUAAACCCGGGCAGGUUGGGCUCGUGAGCCGUCAUAGGUAAUACACCUAGGAGAGCAAACUCCGAACAAUAAACCCGGGCAGGUGGAGGUCGUUAGCGAAAGCAAUUCAUCUAGGAGAGCAAACUCCGAUUACAAACCCGGGCAGGUGGAGGUCGUUAGCGAAAGCAGUUCACCUAGGAGAGCAAACUCCGAUUACAAACCCGGGCAGGUGAGGUUCGUUAGCCGUGGUAGGCAAUUCACCUAGGAGAGCAAACUCUGAACAAUAAACCCGGGCAGGUUGGGCUCGUGAGCCGCCAUAGGUAAUACACCUAGGAGAGCAAACUCCGAACAAUAAACCCGGGCAGGUGGAGCUCGUCAGCCGUGGUAGGCAAUCUGCCUAGGAGAGCAAACUCCGAACGAUAAACCCGGGCAGGUGGAGCUCGUCAGCCGUGGUAGGCAGUCUGCCUAGGAGAGCAAACUCCGAACAAUAAACCGGGGCUUGUGGUGCUCGUUAGAUGUCGUAGACAAUCCACGUGAUGGGAACACCAAUGAAAAGGAAAAUAAAAAGGAACACCAGAAAAAGGAAAAUAUAGUAACAAAACAUCAAGAAAAGAAAAUGAAAAACACAGAUCAUCCACCUUCAGGCCCUAACAUCUCCAAAAUUAUGGAUGAGUCUUUUCUGGGGAGAAAGAGGCUCAUCCAGACCAAAGAACAUAAAAAAUGGAUGAUAUAGAAAGGAACACCAAAAAAAUGGGAAAAAGAGAAAAAAACAUCGCAAAAGAAAAGUAACAACAAUAACAGAACGUCAAGAAAAGUAACAUACAAAGAAACAUCAUCCACCAUUCGGCCCCAAACUAACAUCACCAAAAUUAUGGGUGGGUCUUUUCUGGGGAGAAAGAGGCUCACCCAGACCAAAGAACAUCAAAGAGGGAUGAUAUAGAAAAGAACACCUAAAAAUAGGGGAAAAAAGAGCAAAAAAACAUCGCAAAAGAAAAGUAACAGCAAUAACAGAACAACAUCAAGAAAAGUAACAUACAAAGAAACAUCAUCCACCAUUCGGCCCCAAACUAACAUCACCAAAAUUAUGGGUGGGUCUCUUCUGGGAGGAAAGCGGCUCACCCAGACCAAUGAACAUCAACAAGAGGAUGAUAUGAAAUAAAAGAACAUCAAAAAAGAAAAACAACAGCAAGAAAACAAAGAAAAAGAUAAAGAAAAGAAAAGGAAAAAGAAACAAAAAGAAAAAGAAAAACACCAAAAUAAAAUAAAACAAAAACAAAAAAAUAAUCCAAAUAAAUAAAUAAAUAAACAAAUACAGAA